AUAAAAAAACUGAUUUAAUCACCCAAAAAAACAAAGGACCAAUAGUGCAAAUGGCCCAUUUUGAACCCAUUUUAAAACCCAAAACUCAUUCCCUUUGUCUGUCAUUUUUGAGUUUGCCGCAGCCCCCCUUCCACCAUUUCAGACCCAUCUCCGAUCAACUACAACGACCAUGACGGCACCACGACGGAGCGCUACCGCUGGAUGAACGUGCACGGCGCUAGGGGAAACGGCAGUUAUUGCGACGUGGGAGUGUACAGCGCUGGUCUGCUGCUUGCUGUUGGAGUUUGCCUUUUUUUUUUUGGGCUGUACAGUGUUAUUAGUUUGGGCCUUAUUGGGCCUCGUUUUUGGUUUUUUAGCCAAGCCGAAAUUGGCCUAUUACAUAUGUAAUGACAAUGACCAUAUUGUAAACUUUUUACUUUCGAUGCUCGAAAUAACAAUUAUGAAAAUUAGGUGA
Gossypium raimondii (Peruvian cotton) is the source of this 454-nucleotide long non-coding RNA. RefSeq lists it as uncharacterized. The record is from RefSeq and is a predicted model, not a curated record. The transcript is spliced from 2 exons. NCBI's taxonomy places the organism in Eukaryota, Viridiplantae, Streptophyta, Magnoliopsida, Malvales, Malvaceae.